GGGAUGGAAACAACCUUUACAUUCUGUGUACCCUUCUCAGAGUUUGUGGCUUGAACCAUAUGAGAUUAUUGAUAUUUGACUACCCUUGACUUACAGAAUUUUAUAUAAUUUUUCCUAUACUAGUUGAAUCCCUUCUCAUGGGCUCAAGGCAGAGAAUGGGGAGAUGCAGGAGAAACUGUGUAGAAAGAUUUAAAAUAGAUUCAUAGUGAACAUUAACCUGGGUCUGGUUUUCAGAAGAUGCCUUCAGUUCUUUAAAGCAUCAAAGAACACCCCAUGGAUGGUCCUUAUCUACAGGGUCAUACCAAGUACUAAGGAUCUCUGCUUAAGCUUUAGGGUGCUUCCCACAGGAGAAAUAGAGAUAAAACUAACUGCAACUCCUGUCAGAACUUCCAGUACAGGGCUGUGAUUCUUGCAAACACAGGAGUUCAGGUAAAAGGAAAAGAUUUAAUGGGGAGUGGCCCUGUGAUACAUCCUCAGAUACUUGGGAGAGACACCAACAUCAUAAAUCUGUUGGGGCAUAACACAGGAUCUUCUAGGCAAGAUCUUUCUAAUUCCUUUUGAUUCCCCAGAAAAUUUUGGCUGAAAUCUUCCCUUUUUGGCGUAACUCAACAUAAUAAAGGAAAUUGCUAGACAAGAAGUUAAUUUGACAUCCUUAUUUAUAAAUCUACUUAAGACCCCAAAGGAAUGAGAUGCAAGGCUGGCAAGAUUUUAUUGGAGGAGAGUUGAAAAAAUGGUUAACAUAUGUGGAGGCAACUUAUACAACUCUCAUAAUGAAGGCAAGCACUGACCCUUCUGAAUUGUGGAAAGAAUUGAGGAUCCAUAUGAUUAAAGAUCAGUGGUCACUGAAGAAUAUGUCACAAUUUUUUUCAGCGACAUGGCCUAGACAGAGUAAAAUGGCAACUCCCCUCCUUCCCCACCCCAUGAUAGAUCAACUCCCAAGAGAGGUACUUACGUGGGGUGUCCCUGGCCAAAGCCAAGGGAGGGCUCAGCACCACCAGCAUCACGGUCAGAGCCGCCAUCCAAAAGCCUCUGGAGAAACACAGAUGCAACAUGCUGGAGAACAUGAGAGGACAGUGUGUGAGAUAGUAAGAGUCAUGAAAAGAGGAAAGGGGGUAUGUUUCAGAUUAAUUAUGGAGAAGAAGGGGCAAAUAAAAUGGAAUGGAAUGACAUGCAGGGGAAACAAAGGAUUAAAAACAGAAAGCAGGGAGAAGUGCCCUGGCUUAUGUAAGAGAAAACCCUUCCUUAAGGAAGAGAAAGGGAUAUACAAAGAGAAAGUACCCCCAAGAAAGUAAAAGUGUAUAGCCGAAAUAGAAAGGGAAAUGAACUGAACCAAGCCAUUUCGGUAAUCCCAAGGCAGUUACAAGAUUAUGAAGUAACAGAAUGGAAGGAAGGCUUGAAUUGACUGCGCACUAAUAUUCUCAUAAUGUGUAAGGAAAUAUCAUUUGAUGUAGCGGGAAGGAUGGGUCCUUUUAGAAGGAAUACAUCUUCUCCCUUUUCAAAGGCAGCACCUAUAGGCUCAGCCAUCAAAGUAAGAAUCUGCCUCAUCCAUCAAUUCAGUUCCAGAUUAAUUCCUCUUUAGGAAGGCAUUCCAGCUUUUCACACUGAGGCAUUUUUAAAAAGAAAAGCAUUCCUGGAAAUCCCCAUCCCUUUGACCUUUCUCUUCAACCAAUAGGGAUAGGAAACGAAGCAGCAUCACUCGUCUCCAAGCAGAUGUAUCUUUUAAGAACGUCUGCUCUGAUCCCAGGUCUUGGGGAGAAGGUGGAGAAAGGACAGGGGACUAAUAUGUGGUGAGAGGACAGCCUAGUUUCAUGGAGAAAAAUGACAUUCCAUGUUAGAGAGCCAAGAAACCACACUGUGGUUGUGAAGCAGAGUAGAAGGUAUCUAAGUACUUAGCAUUGGGUGGAAAAAGAGAGGAAAGCUGAUAUUUUUCAUGCAUCUAUGGGAAGUCCCUGCUCAGUUUCUGAAAAGAAGGAAAUGGCUAAGACGCUGAACUCUCCCUGCUACUGAUGCAUGAGUACCUAUGGUGGAAGUGAUGGAAAUUGUGAAAAAGUCCAUAAGCCCACCUGCUGAUUGUCAGAGGACAAUUUGAGGGAAAGCUGUGUUAUCACAUGCUGAUGAUUUUGCUCUAGAGAGGCAGCACUUCCAGCUAUAUCCUUUCUCAAUUAAUCACCAUGACUGUCUUGCAUUUUUUGUUAACCACUGAUUCUUCAGCACCAAGAAUAGUUCUUAGCACUCAAUAACC
RNAcentral lists this long non-coding RNA (2242 nucleotides) under Sus scrofa (pig). RNAcentral describes it as "lncRNA (ENSSSCG00065058994.1)". Lineage: Eukaryota; Metazoa; Chordata; Mammalia; Artiodactyla; Suidae. The record is from RNAcentral.